Molecule: non-coding RNA, 2413 nt
Organism: Oryza sativa Japonica Group (Japanese rice)
Lineage: Eukaryota; Viridiplantae; Streptophyta; Magnoliopsida; Poales; Poaceae
Source: RefSeq, a predicted model, not a curated record
UCAUAGGAAUUUUAAAGGAUAGUGUAGCAUUCAAUCCUUUGUUUCAAAGGCUUUCAUAGGAAUAUUUUCCAUAGGAUUGAAAUCCUUCAAAUUUCCUACACUUUUCCUACAAAUCAAAGCGGCCUAAAGGAUCAAGGGGAUUCCUCAAUUAACGCUUUUCUUAUAGGAUAUAUCGAACAAUUUCUAUUUAACAUAGAAUUAUGUUUAUAUUAUGUGUACAAUAGGAUUCGGAGACCUCAGGUGCUAAAUAAAUUUUAUGAUAUAAAUAGGAUGAAAUCUUUCUGGUAUGCGCUUGAACGAUGUGUGUAUACCAUGAUGGGUGGUGCCAUUUAUACGAUGUGCCCGUAACCGUAAGCUUUACAGUGGUCUAAAAGCGAAAUAAUUCCGAGCAAUGCGUCUGCUACACAGACCUUAAUAUUUAUAAGUGACUGCACUCGAAUACCUGACAUUUGGAUAGCAUCUACGAAGAACGGGAUGUCAGAUUGUGAGGUUUUUCCCGGUAUGCCAUUAAAAAAAGAUGGUGUCUGCCUCUGUGCCACUAAAAAGUUCGAGCCUCCCUCUGUGACAUCGUCGAAUUUUAUCGCGCCCUCCGCAUCAUUCCGUCCGUUUUUAUCCUAACGGUGGAUAACGGCUGCGCCAAAUGACUUAAUUGCCCUUAGGCCUCCUAGCACUCUCCUCUCUCCCUCAGAUGCAGCAGCAGCAAAGAAGCGGGAGGGGAGUCGCCGGCGAUGCCGCUGCGGUCGGCGAGGCGAAGGGUGACAACGGCGGCCGUGGUGCUGAGCCACCACAUCUCUCGCAUCCUCGCCGCGUCGGCCUUGUGCCGCCGCCACCGGUGGCCGGCGUUAGUGCGCGGCUGUGCCACCACAGACGACGACGGGGCGCUGCGACGACGGCGGCGGCGGCAUCGCUGCUCGAUGAAGAUGUCGGCAACAACGCUGCGACGACGACGACGACAACGACCGGGCCGAGGCGACGGCGGCGCCGGUCGGCCCUACGCGGCGGAAGGAGGCCGGGGCGUCGAGGAGGAUGGGGGAAGGACUACGCCCGCGUCGCCGCCGUCUCCGGCAACGCACAGCAGCACGGCAGCGUCUACUGGAAGCACGUCGCGGCGGCGGUGCUCGCCUCCCUCGACCUGGCCAGGACCUAGCGCCAUAGCUCACCGCCACACUCGCCACGACGGAGUCGCCAGUGUGGAUGGACAACAGCACGGCGGCACAGUGCUGGGAGGUGGAGGAUGUCGCUCGUGAGCUCGUUCAUGGCGUCGCUGCUGGUUGGCGGCUACGCCUACAUCGACAAGACCGACGGCGCUUGGAUGAACUUGAAGACGGACAGGGCGCUGCGACAACGACGAGCGCCGAUUGGAGGGGUGGCCGGUGGGGUUGCCGGCGGCCCUGGGCGAGUCGGAGGCGGCGCCGGAGUCGAAUCCGGCGACGGAGGCGGGGGCGACCGCGGAGGGAGGCGCGGUGGCGGCGUCUUGGACGGGGACGGCGACGACCCGUGCCCGCGGGCCACCUCCGCCGACGCGUCGGAGCCCUCGGAGGCCGAUCCCGCCGCUACCGACGCGUCGGAGCCCUCGGAGGCCGAUCCCGCCGCUACCGACGCGUCGGAGCCCUCGGAGGCCGAUCCCGCCCCGCGGGCCACCUCCGCCGACGCGUCGGAGCCCUCGGAGGCCGAUCCCGCCGCUACCGACGCGUCGGAGCCCUCGGAGGCCGAUCCCGCCGCUACCGACGCGUCGGAGCCCUCGGAGGCCGAUCCCGCCCCGCGGGCCACCUCCGCCGACGCGUCGGAGCCCUCGGAGGCCGAUCCCGCCGCUACCGCCGCGUCGGCCUCCUCGGCGGGGCGCUUCGAUGCCAUGCGGUGCAGGGAGGGGAGGGGGAGCAGGUCGCCGCCGUCGUCGAACCUGCACCCAGCCGCCGCGCAGCACCAGUCGCCGGCCACGCCGCGCCACCGCCUGUCUGCCACGCGCCGCGCCGCUAAGCGCCGCCUUGGCUGUCCGCCGACGCCGCUUAGCCCACUCGCCGUCGGCGCCGCCUGGCUACCUCUCUCUCUCUGGUGAAAAGGAAGAAAAAAAAGAGGGGAACGAAGCAGAGACUAAAAGGGCAAGAAGGACAUUUUUCCUACCCAGCCCCACAUGUCAGAGCUCCCAAACAGUUAAAGCCAAACAGAAUAGCGACGGAAUGGUAUGGAGGGCACGAUAAAGUUCGGCGAUGGCAUAAAGGGAGUCUCGAACUUUUUAGUGGCACAGAGGCAGACACCAUCUUUUUUAAUGGCACACAGCAUGGCAAAGGAGCAGGGGAGCAUAUAUCCUAAAAUAAAAUUACUGUGUCUAAACGAAUGCCAUCAAAUAAGUACCACCAAUGCUCUCAAUUCCCAAGUCCCAUUUUCGUGCUUACAAAAGAUGCCCAGCUGGAAA